CUUAUCCAUUCUUAGACUUUCAGCACUGCAGACCUCAGUCUUAUCUUGCUUGUUUCCCAGCUCACCCUUUUGCAUCAGAAAAAGUUUGCUUUAUUUUUGGUAAUUAACCUUUUCUCUUGCCAGCAGUAGAUGAAGUGCAGGGCUUCCUAAUUGGUAUGUUGUUGUAUCUGACCACUAUCCAUCCUCAUGGGGGCAUUCCAUCAUUGUUAGGGCUGGAGUCUCAGUCUGAAUCCUUGAGACAGAGCUGCGUUAUCAUUUACUCUGAGUAGGAAUGCAGCAGAAAUCAAUGAAAUGAAUGAUUAUUAUUACCCAGAACUGACCUGAAUUCAGAUGCUGAACUUUUAAGAAGACAGAGGUGCAGAGUGACUGAGUAACACCAAGUUACACUUGAUAGCACACGUCUCAUCUGGAAGUGAAAGUUGACUGUAACUAGUUUUUCACCACCUAGUAAGCAGAAAAAAAAAUGUGACAUUUUACUGACCAGUGAACUUCUCAGGAUAUAGGGUGGAUAAUGCAGCAUCUACAUAUUGAAGUAAAGAGCAAUGCUCAAGUCUUGAAGUACAGCCAAGGAGAUAAGCCAUAUCCUGGGGAGGUCCUGUCCUGCAAUUCUUAUUACAGCAAGCAGGCCUAAGAAACCAAUAUAAACUACUACACUAGAUGGGAAAGUGAGCAGCUACAGGGCCACUCCUCCAUCACCUCUGAGCCUUGCCCUCUUCGUCUGGCUCUAUCUCAAUGUCAACACAUGACAAGGAUCAACUAUGCAAAUGUUAAGGGGAAAAGAGGUCCUGCCUUCAGCCUCUGCCUGCACAACCCUGAGGUCUUCCGAGACAUCUGCGGUAAGCUUGUAGAUGCAGGACCUACAAGACAACCACAUCUUUCUGGAAAAGCAUCUUGAAAAAAAAGACGAAGAUGUGAAGUAAGUGCGUUUUUUUACAUCAAAGCACCACACUACAGUGGGACAUGAAGGGAGAAGUGGCGUGUUGCCUUUGCCUUGGUCAGUGGAGGAAGAUGGAUGUGGCUCUGGGCAUCCUGGUCUAGUGGUUAGCGACCCUGCAGGGGGGGUUGAAACAAGAUGAUCGUUCUGGUCCUUUUCAACCCAGGCAAUUCUAUGAUUCUAUGAAGAUGACAAUGGAGAAUGCCAUCUGGAGGUCUCUCACUCUCCACAGUCAUUGUAGAGAGUAUAAGCCACUGUGUUCUUAAAAAUGUAUGCCAAAUUUCCCUGAGUGUUAGAGGUAAGGUGGCAGUUCCUCCAAGGAUGUGGACAGAGACAUCAUUCAAAACCUAGUACAAGACCACCCA
RNAcentral lists this long non-coding RNA (1299 nucleotides) under Meleagris gallopavo (turkey). RNAcentral describes it as "lncRNA (ENSMGAG00000020495.1)". The record is from RNAcentral. Lineage: Eukaryota; Metazoa; Chordata; Aves; Galliformes; Phasianidae.